RNAcentral lists this ribosomal RNA (492 nucleotides) under uncultured bacterium. RNAcentral's name for it is "partial 16S ribosomal RNA". It matches the Rfam family "Bacterial small subunit ribosomal RNA", at positions 29 to 507 of the family's 1533-position model. The record is from RNAcentral.
AGUGAACGCUGGCGGUAGGCCUAACACAUGCAAGUCGAACGGCAGCACAGUAAGAGCUUGCUCUUACGGGUGGCGAGUGGCGGACGGGUGAGGAAUACAUCGGAAUCUACUUUUUCGUGGGGGAUAACGUAGGGAAACUUACGCUAAUACCGCAUACGACCUACGGGUGAAAGCAGGGGAUCUUCGGACCUUGCGCGAUUGAAUGAGCCGAUGUCGGAUUAGCUAGUUGGCGGGGUAAAGGCCCACCAAGGCGACGAUCCGUAGCUUGUCUGAGAGGAUGAUCCGCCACACUGGAACUGAGACACGGUCCAGACUCCUACGGGAGGCAGCAGUGGGGAAUAUUGGACAAUGGGCGCAAGCCUGAUCCAGCCAUACCGCGUGGGUGAAGAAGGCCUUCGGGUUGUAAAGCCCUUUUGUUGGGAAAGAAAAGCAGCAGGUUAAUACCCCGCUGUUCUGACGGUACCCAAAGAAUAAGCACCGGCUAACUUCGUG